GAUGAACGCUGGCGGCGUGCCUAAUACAUGCAAGUCGAGCGAACGGACGAGAAGCUUGCUUCUCUGAUGUUAGCGGCGGACGGGUGAGUAACACGUGGAUAACCUACCUAUAAGACUGGGAUAACUUCGGGAAACCGGAGCUAAUACCGGAUAAUAUUUUGAACCGCAUGGUUCAAAAGUGAAAGACGGUCUUGCUGUCACUUAUAGAUGGAUCCGCGCUGCAUUAGCUAGUUGGUAAGGUAACGGCUUACCAAGGCAACGAUGCAUAGCCGACCUGAGAGGGUGAUCGGCCACACUGGAACUGAGACACGGUCCAGACUCCUGCGGGAGGCAGCAGUAGGGAAUCUGCCGCAAUGGGCGAAAGCCUGACGGAGCAACGCCGCGUGAGUGAUGAAAGUCUUCGGAUCGUAAAACUCUGUUAUUAGGGAAGAACAUAUGUGUAAGUAACUGUGCACAUCUUGACGGUACCUAAUCAGAAAGCCACGGCUAACUACGUG
RNAcentral lists this ribosomal RNA (497 nucleotides) under uncultured bacterium. RNAcentral describes it as "partial 16S ribosomal RNA". It matches the Rfam family "Bacterial small subunit ribosomal RNA", at positions 28 to 507 of the family's 1533-position model. The record is from RNAcentral.